RNAcentral lists this ribosomal RNA (429 nucleotides) under Gemmatimonadota bacterium. RNAcentral's name for it is "Gemmatimonadetes bacterium partial 16S ribosomal RNA". It matches the Rfam family "Bacterial small subunit ribosomal RNA", at positions 355 to 776 of the family's 1533-position model. Lineage: Bacteria; Pseudomonadati; Gemmatimonadota. The record is from RNAcentral.
UAGGGAAUCUUCGGCAAUGGACGAAAGUCUGACCGAGCAACGCCGCGUGAGUGAAGAAGGCUUUCGGAUCGUAAAACUCUGUUGUUAGAGAAGAACAAGGACGUUAGUAACUGAACGUCCCCUGACGGUAUCUAACCAGAAAGCCACGGCUAACUACGUGCCAGCAGCCGCGGUAAUACAUAGGUGGCAAGCGUUGUCCGGAUUUAUUGGGCGUAAAGCGAGCGCAGGCGGUUUCUUAAGUCUGAUGUGAAAGCCCCCGGCUCAACCGGGGAGGGUCAUUGGAAACUGGGAGACUUGAGUGCAGAAGAGGAGAGUGGAAUUCCAUGUGUAGCGGUGAAAUGCGUAGAUAUAUGGAGGAACACCAGUGGCGAAGGCGGCUCUCUGGUCUGUAACUGACGCUGAGGCUCGAAAGCGUGGGGAGCAAACAGG